GUUGAGGGUAGACGUGAAACAACUCGUAUCGUGUCCCCAAUUCUUUGUAUUUUUAAAAUCAAACAAGAAAUAAUAUCGUUUCAAAAGUAGAAAAAGUGGUGUAAUAUUUCGGGAUAAAAAAGUGUAAAUGUUAUUCCGCCGAGAAACAUUGUAAAAGCAUAAAUAAUUCGCCAAAAUCACAACGCUUCAAACGAGUGACUUUUGUAGAUAACUUAUGUUGAAAAGAAUACCUAAAAUGCAGGAAUUGUGCACAAUGAACAACAUUAAAGUGAAAUAGUGUAGUGAUGUGAAGUGAACUAAUUUUUGCAAAAAUAACGGCACAAGUGUCAAGACUGACUCAUUUAAUAUAACACUGACUCAUUUAGUGUCUGUGACGCGUGUAACUUAGGGCACUAAGUGCAUCAUAACAGGCGAUGGAGGAAAUAAAAAAUAUGUUAGUUAUCAUGCAGCAAGAUAUAAAGCAACAAAAACAAGACAUGCUAGAUAUGAAAGAAGAUAUUAAAUGUACAAUAAUCAACAGCCUCAACGAGAAGUUUAAUCAUUUAGAACUAAAAAACGAGCUUUUGGAGAAAAACCUAGAAGAACAAACAAAAAAAAUAAACAACCUAGAAAGACAGUUUAGACGCAAAAAUCUAAUCUUGUUUGGCGUAGAAGAGAGCGAAAAGUCAUACGAUGGACUCGAAGAAAUGGUCAUAAACAUAA
Long non-coding RNA from Pieris rapae (cabbage white), 702 nucleotides. RefSeq lists it as uncharacterized. The transcript is spliced from 2 exons. NCBI's taxonomy places the organism in Eukaryota, Metazoa, Arthropoda, Insecta, Lepidoptera, Pieridae. The record is from RefSeq and is a predicted model, not a curated record.